RNAcentral lists this long non-coding RNA (1044 nucleotides) under Medicago truncatula (barrel medic). RNAcentral describes it as "long non-coding RNA (MTRU_LNC003237)". Lineage: Eukaryota; Viridiplantae; Streptophyta; Magnoliopsida; Fabales; Fabaceae. The record is from RNAcentral.
CUAGACUAGGAAGUUCUGUAUUCCUAGGAAUAUAUAAAAUCAGAAGUUGUUACACUUAUAGGGAAUAUCUACAAUCUAUAAUAUAUACCAACUGAGUUACGUUCACGAGGUCACACAUAUUUAUCUUUAAUAAAUAUAAAAGGCUAAAUUGCUAUUUUGGUCGCUUAACUAUUUUUGAGGUACCACUUUGGUCAUAUAACAUGUUUUUUGUCAGUUUAGGUCCUUUAAAUAUGCAUCUGUUACACAGUUUGGGCCCUUCCGUCAAGAGGCUAACCUCAAAUGUCUUUGGUGGACCAACAUUAUAGGUGGUCCACCAAAGACGUCAUUAAUUUUUAUAAUUGUAAUCGUUGGAUCUUUUUGUCACAAAGAAAACCAUUAGAUUCUAUAUGUCUAUUGUAUCUAGCAGUAUGCCAUCUAGAACUAAUUCUUUUUCGAUUUCUUCAUCUUCUUCUCUCCUCACCUUCAUCAUCUAUACCAAAUCUUCACAAACAUUUACAAAAAAUUCUUAGAAAAAAAUCAUAAACCCAGAAAACUCAAGUAAAUGAACAUAUUACUUUAUUCCUUCUCAUUUAUCUUCUUAUCUGCAUCUUCUACACAAUUAACCUCACAACAAUAUUAUGUAAAAUCCCAAUUAACCUCACAACAAUUGGUCCAAAAAUUUUAUGUUCAAAAAUAAGAACAGCAACAACAACUUCCUUCAAGUGCAUAAGGGCACCAAAAUCUUUCAAAACUCAUCCUUCAAAAAGAACACAUCGUUCAAAAAUUUGAUCUUUCACAUAAACUUUAACAUAAGAGCAUCAAAAUCAUAAGUAAAUUAAACAGCAACAACACCUUAACAUAAUGAGCGGUUGAACAAUUUGAGUUUUGAGAGAAGAGAUUGAGAACGUAAAUACAAGAGGAUUUCAGUUUGAGAUUCAUCGUAGGGUGAUACAAACAAGGAGGAUUUGGAUUUGGGAAAUAGCUUGGAAGGUUUUGGUUGAUUUUCCCAUUGUUAGUGGAUCUGAAAAAAGAAAUUAGGAAAUAGAUAUGAAGAUUUUGGUUGAU